GAGAAAAGCCUUAAUAAAGUUGCGGGUUUUUCCAGCCUCAGCAGCAGAACUUCUCCAGAACCCGAUCAGAACCGCCUCCUAACACUUAACUCUUUCUGUUGCAGUCAGAUCACAAACAUCUGGAGGUCCUUCAGACCAACGUGACGGAGCGCCGGGUCCAGACCGCGGUUCUGCUGAGCGUCAAGGCCGGGAGGGGGCGGGGCAUGGCGACAGGAGCGGGAACGCCAGGAGUCGAGGUCGUUCUGCAGGUUCCCAUAAACCAUCCAAGUCCAAAUGGUCGGAGUCGGAGGUGCGCGCCGUGGAGCAGCACCUGAUGGAGUUCAUCCGGAAGCAGCGAGUGCCGCAGAAGUACGACUGCCUGCAGUGUCUGGAGGCGGAGCCUCGGGCGCUCAGGGCGCGCUCGUGGAAGGCCGUGAAGGACUACGUCCGGAACCGGAUCACCGCGCUGCGCAGGCAGAGCGGCUGCGGCGCGAAGCCCGCAGGGAAACCCUCGGGAGAGAAAGCCAGAGCGGCGCCCCCCGUCCAGACGCGGGACGUCAGACCGGCAGCCCCCCCCAGAGCGGAUCAGACAGGAAACUCCAGGGCGCAGACCAAGGUGAAGUGGGCGGAGGCGGAGGUCCGCGCCGUGGAGAGGCACAUGAUGCGCUUCAUCACCCAGCACAAGGUGCCUCAGAAGAACGACUGCGUCCUGUGUCUGGAGGCGGAGCCUCAGGCGCUGCGGGCCCGCUCCUGGAAAGGCGUGAAGGACUACGUCCGAAACCGAAUCACCACGCUGCAGAGGCAGAGCGGCUCCUCCCGGCGCUCCAGAUCGGAGAGCUCUCGGCACAGGAGCGUCCUGCUGCAGCUGUAGCUGAAAAACCGCAGAAACAUUCCGGCUUGAAACGAAUGUUUUCCUUCGUUUAUGGAACUUUUGUUACCGUUUUAUAAAUCUAAAAGCUGAAGUUUUAUAGAUUUAUUGGAAGUUUGAAGGUUGGGAUCCACGUUUGGAGACUUAAGUCUAGUUAGAAUUACAUUUUUGAUUUUCCUUUGAAUGUUGAAGCAUUUUGUAAACAAACAAGUUCACUUUUCUGAGUAAAAGAUGUCAAAUAGAAACAUUUUGUUCAGAGGAUUUUGUUGCAAGUAUGUGGGUGUAAAUUGGGGCUGACUUUAUUUGAAACUUAAAUAAAACAAAUUGAAAAAAAUCUAUAAAUAUAUAAAAAAAAUAUAUUUAUUCCAUAGAUAAACAAAAUAAUUUUCUAAAAUAAAUUAUUCAUUAAUCAUUUCUUCAUUUAUUUUAUGAUUUAAAUCUUCUGUUUUUUAGGUUUCAAAACUCAAAAUUUUAAUUUCCAAACUUUUUUUCAGUAUAAAAGCUUUUUUUCACUUUCAAAUCUGAAAAUUUCAAAAUUGAAAGAGCAAAAAUGAAAGAGUUGAAAGUGAAAAAAUAUUUGAAACAGACAUAAAAAAAAAGGGAAUUUUUGCUUUUUGAAAAUUACAAAUUGUAAUAUUUGAAACUGAAAACAAUACAUUUUAUUUUAGAAUAGCAAAAAAUUUUAGACAUUUUACACCGAUAUUUUUUUUCAUUAUUUUUAUUUGGGUUUCAAAUAUUAUUUGGUUCAAUGGAGCUCCAUAUAAGUCCAGUUAGAAUUACCCUUUUUGUAAAAAAAA
RNAcentral lists this long non-coding RNA (1644 nucleotides) under Oryzias javanicus (javanese ricefish). Its description in RNAcentral is "lncRNA (ENSOJAG00000004589.1)". Lineage: Eukaryota; Metazoa; Chordata; Actinopteri; Beloniformes; Adrianichthyidae. The record is from RNAcentral.